This 667-nucleotide ribosomal RNA is filed under the name Fructilactobacillus sanfranciscensis. Its description in RNAcentral is "bacterial SSU rRNA". It matches the Rfam family "Bacterial small subunit ribosomal RNA", at positions 57 to 680 of the family's 1533-position model. Lineage: Bacteria; Bacillati; Bacillota; Bacilli; Lactobacillales; Lactobacillaceae. The record is from RNAcentral.
GCAGUCGAACGAAGUCGCCCAAUUGAUUCUUAGUGCUUGCACUAAGAUGAUUUUGGAUCCGACUGAGUGGCGAACUGGUGAGUAACACGUGGGUAACCUGCCCAGAAGAAGGGGAUAACACCUGGAAACAGAUGCUAAUACCGUAUAACAACAAGAACCACAUGGUUCUUGUUUGAAAGCUGGCCUUUGUGCUAGUGCUUCUGGAUGGACCCGCGGCGUAUUAGCUAGUUGGUGAGAUAAUAGCUCACCAAGGCAAUGAUACGUAGCAGACCUGAGAGGGUAAUCUGCCACAAUGGGACUGAGACACGGCCCAUACUCCUACGGGAGGCAGCAGUAGGGAAUCUUCCACAAUGGACGAAAGUCUGAUGGAGCAACGCCGCGUGAGUGAAGAAGGGUUUCGGCUCGUAAAACUCUGUUGUUAGAGAAGAACAGCCGUGAGAGCAACUGCUCACGGUAUGACGGUAUCUAACCAGAAAGUCACGGCUAACUACGUGCCAGCAGCCGCGGUAAUACGUAGGUGGCAAACGUUGUCCGGAUUUAUUGGGCGUAAAGGGAGCGCAGGCGGUUUAUUAAGUCUGAUGUGAAAGCCUUCGGCUUAACCGGAGAAGUGCAUCGGAAACUGAUAAACUUGAGUGCAGAAAAGGAUAGUGGAACUUCAUGUGUAGCG